GAAUUCGCCCUUAGAGUUUGAUCCUGGCUCAGGACGAACGCUGGCGGCGCGCCUAACACAUGCAAGUCGAACGGAGCUUAGAGAGCUUGCUUUUUAAGCUUAGUGGCGAACGGGUGAGUAACGCGUGAGUAACCUGCCCUAGAGUGGGGGACAACAGUUGGAAACGACUGCUAAUACCGCAUAAGCCCACGGUACCGCAUGGUACUGAGGGAAAAGGAUUUAUUCGCUUUAGGAUGGACUCGCGUCCAAUUAGCUAGUUGGUGAGGUAACGGCCCACCAAGGCGACGAUUGGUAGCCGGACUGAGAGGUUGAACGGCCACAUUGGGACUGAGACACGGCCCAGACUCCUACGGGAGGCAGCAGUGGGGGAUAUUGCACAAUGGGGGAAACCCUGAUGCAGCGACGCCGCGUGGAGGAAGAAGGUUUUCGGAUUGUAAACUCCUGUCGUUAGGGACGAUAAUGACGGUACCUAACAAGAAAGCACCGGCUAACUACGUGCCAGCAGCCGCGGUAAAACGUAGGGUGCAAGCGUUGUCCGGAAUUACUGGGUGUAAAGGGAGCGCAGGCGGGAAGACAAGUUGGAAGUGAAAACCAUGGGCUCAACCCAUGAAUUGCUUUCAAAACUGUUUUUCUUGAGUAGUGCAGAGGUAGAUGGAAUUCCCGGUGUAGCGGUGGAAUGCGUAGAUAUCGGGAGGAACACCAGUGGCGAAGGCGGUCUACUGGGCACCAACUGACGCUGAGGCUCGAAAGCAUGGGUAGCAAACAGGAUUAGAUACCCUGGUAGUCCAUGCCGUAAACGAUGAUUAC
RNAcentral lists this ribosomal RNA (807 nucleotides) under uncultured bacterium. RNAcentral's name for it is "bacterial SSU rRNA". It matches the Rfam family "Bacterial small subunit ribosomal RNA", at positions 1 to 816 of the family's 1533-position model. The record is from RNAcentral.